UGACUCUGGGAUAAGCGCUGGAAACGGCGUCUAAUACUGGAUAUGAACAAGAAUCGCAUGGUUACUUGUUGGAAAGAUUUUUCGGUUGGGGAUGGGCUCGCGGCCUAUCAGCUUGUUGGUGAGGUAAUGGCUCACCAAGGCGUCGACGGGUAGCCGGCCUGAGAGGGUGACCGGCCACACUGGGACUGAGACACGGCCCAGACUCCUACGGGAGGCAGCAGUGGGGAAUAUUGCACAAUGGGCGGAAGCCUGAUGCAGCAACGCCGCGUGAGGGAUGACGGCCUUCGGGUUGUAAACCUCUUUUAGCAGGGAAGAAGCGAGAGUGACGGUACCUGCAGAAAAAGCGCCGGCUAACUACGUGCCAGCAGCCGCGGUAAUACGUAGGGCGCAAGCGUUAUCCGGAAUUAUUGGGCGUAAAGAGCUCGUAGGCGGUUUGUCGCGUCUGCUGUGAAAUCCCGAGGCUCAACCUCGGGCCUGCAGUGGGUACGGGCAGACUAGAGUGCGGUAGGGGAGAUUGGAAUUCCUGGUGUAGCGGUGGAAUGCGCAGAUAUCAGGAGGAACACCGAUGGCGAAGGCAGAUCUCUGGGCCGUAACUGACGCUGAGGAGCGAAAGGGUGGGGAGCAAACAGGCUUAGAUACCCUGGUAGUCCACCCCGUAAACGUUGGGAACUAGUUGUGGGGUCCAUUCCACGGAUUCCGUGACGCAGCUAACGCAUUAAGUUCCCCGCCUGGGGAGUACGGCCGCAAGGCUAAAACUCAAAGGAAUUGACGGGGACCCGCACAAGCGGCGGAGCAUGCGGAUUAAUUCGAUGCAACGCGAAGAACCUUACCAAGGCUUGACAUACACGAG
Molecule: ribosomal RNA, 850 nt
Filed under: Microbacterium ginsengiterrae
Lineage: Bacteria; Bacillati; Actinomycetota; Actinomycetes; Micrococcales; Microbacteriaceae
Description: bacterial SSU rRNA
Rfam family: Bacterial small subunit ribosomal RNA
Source: RNAcentral